This is a long non-coding RNA of Homo sapiens (human), 502 nucleotides long. NCBI's taxonomy places the organism in Eukaryota, Metazoa, Chordata, Mammalia, Primates, Hominidae. The record is from Ensembl.
AAAACAAAACAGGCUACCUGCUUUAAAAGAAAUUUCUCGAGAAUCUUCACAAGAUGAUAGGAUGGACAAUGUCUUCAGCAGCAUCCCGACAACACAGGCAGUAACAGACGCGUUUGUAAGGGAGUGGCUCAGUGGUAUCGCUUGAUGAAACUGGACACCAUAGCUCCAGAACUCAAUUGCAGAAGAGGGGCAAAGGGGGAAAAGGCAGCACGAUUUAUUAUCUUGUACAUGCCAGGGCAGGCCUUUAAUUUUGUCUUCAUGUUCUACACACAGGAUGGAUUUACCUAAAAUACAAGUGGCACUGUAUAAACAAAAUUCACUUUGGAAGGCUCAGAGUCAUCUCUACAAACCAAAAGAAUAAAAAGUGAAACUGAGGCAGAGGCCUGUGGUUGCCAGUGGGAAAAGCCAUUCCACGGGUAGGAAGACCUCAUAGACAUCGAAGACAAAUGAAAAUCUGAUAAACAAUUCCAGGGGAAAACGUUAUAAAGGUAGACACUCAACA